Molecule: transfer RNA, 64 nt
Filed under: Rhinebothrium sp. 1
Lineage: Eukaryota; Metazoa; Platyhelminthes; Cestoda; Rhinebothriidea; Rhinebothriidae
Description: tRNA-Leu
Source: RNAcentral
GCAUGAGUGCCAGAAGAUAUGGGUUUGGUUUAGGACCUCAUUAUAGUGUUUAUACUCUCUUGCU